UACAGAGGGGGCAAGCGUUAUUCGGAAUUAUUGGGCGUAAAGGGCGCGUAGGCGGCUUUGCAAGUGACGGGUGAAAGCCCUCGGCUUAACCGAGGAACUGCCUGUCAGACUGUAAGGCUUGAGACCGGGAGAGGUGAGUGGAAUUCCCAGUGUAGCGGUGAAAUGCGUAGAUAUCGGGAGGAACACCAGUGGCGAAGGCGGCGAUCUGGGAAGAUACUGACGCUGAGGUGCGAAAGCGUGGGGAGCAAACAGG
This 253-nucleotide ribosomal RNA is filed under the name uncultured bacterium. Its description in RNAcentral is "partial 16S ribosomal RNA". It matches the Rfam family "Bacterial small subunit ribosomal RNA", at positions 524 to 776 of the family's 1533-position model. The record is from RNAcentral.